GCAUAUCAAUAAGCGGAGGAAAAGAAACCAACAGGGAUUACCUCAGUAACGGCGAGUGAAGCGGUAAAAGCUCAAAUUUGAAAUCUGGCUCUUUUAGAGUCCGAAUUGUAAUUUGUAGAAGAUGCUUCGGGUGUGGUUCCGGUCUAAGUUCCUUGGAACAGGACGUCAUAGAGGGUGAGAAUCCCGUAUGUGACUGGAUACCUAUGCUCAUGUGAAGCUCUUUCGACGAGUCGAGUUGUUUGGGAAUGCAGCUCAAAAUGGGAGGUAUAUUUCUUCUAAAGCUAAAUAUUGGCCAGAGACCGAUAGCGCACAAGUAGAGUGAUCGAAAGAUGAAAAGCACUUUGGAAAGAGAGUUAAACAGUACGUGAAAUUGUUGAAAGGGAAGCGCUUGCAAUCAGACUUGCACUUGGUGUUCAUCAGGGUCUCGUACCCUGUGUACUUCAUCAAGUUCAGGCCAGCAUCAGUUUGAGUGGUUAGAUAAAGGCUUAGAGAAUGUGGCCCUCUUCGGGGGGUGUUAUAGCUCUAGGUGCAAUGUAGCCUACUUGGACUGAGGACCGCGCUUCGGCUAGGAUGCUGGCGUAAUGGUUGUAAGCGACCCGUCUUGAAACACGGACCAAGGAGUGUACCUAAUAUGCGAGUGUUUGGGUGUUAAACCCAUACGCGUAAUGAAAGUGAACGCUGGUGAGAACCCUUAAGGGUGCAUCAUCGACCGAUCUUGAUGUCUUCGGAUGGAUUUGAGUAAGAGCAUAUUGGGUGCGACCCGAAAGAUGGUGAUCUAUACGUGAAUAGGGUGAAGCCAGAGGAAACUUCUGGUGGAGGCUCGCAGCGGUUCUGACGUGCAAAUCGAUCGUCAAAUUUGCGUAUAGGGGCGAAAGACUAAUCGAACCAUCUAGUAGCUGGUUCCUGCCGAAGUU
Molecule: ribosomal RNA, 914 nt
Filed under: Botrytis paeoniae
Lineage: Eukaryota; Fungi; Ascomycota; Leotiomycetes; Helotiales; Sclerotiniaceae
Description: LSU rRNA
Rfam family: Eukaryotic large subunit ribosomal RNA
Source: RNAcentral